This 29-nucleotide non-coding RNA is filed under the name Mus musculus (house mouse). Lineage: Eukaryota; Metazoa; Chordata; Mammalia; Rodentia; Muridae. The record is from RNAcentral.
UUCUUCUUCUUCUCAUUGUUGUGACAAAA